RNAcentral lists this ribosomal RNA (726 nucleotides) under uncultured bacterium. RNAcentral's name for it is "bacterial SSU rRNA". It matches the Rfam family "Bacterial small subunit ribosomal RNA", at positions 31 to 770 of the family's 1533-position model. The record is from RNAcentral.
GAACGCUGGCGGCGUGCCUAACACAUGCAAGUUGAGCGGAGGUAAAUGGAGCUUGCUCUAUGAACCUUAGCAGCGAACGGGUGAGUAACACGUAGAUAAUCUGUCCUAUAUUGGGGGAUAGCCCGAUGAAAGUUGGAUUAAUACCGCAUACAGCUAUAUAGURUGCAUGAUUAUAUAGUGAAAGAUUUAUUGAUAUAGGAGGAGUCUGCGGCACAUUAGCUAGUAGGUGAGGUAAGAGCUUACCUAGGCGACGAUGUGUAGCCGGUCUGAGAGGAUGAACGGCCACAAUGGAACUGAGACACGGUCCAUACUCCUACGGGAGGCAGCAGUGGGAAUAUUGCACAAUGGGGGAAACCUGAUGCAGCAACGCCGCGUGAGUGAAGAAGGUUUUCGGAUUGUAAAGCUCUGUUAGCAGGGAAGAGGAAGGACGGUACCUGCAGAGGAAGCCACGGCUAACUACGUGCCAGCAGCCGCGGUAAUACGUAGGUGGCAAGCGUUGUUCGGAAUAACUGGGCGUAAAGGAUGCGUAGGCGGUUAAAUAAGUUAUAUGUUAAAUAUAUAGGCUUAACCUGUAGAAAGCAUAUAAAACUGUUUAACUAGAGUGCAGGAGAGGUAAGUGGAAUUCCUAGUGUAGCGGUGAAAUGCGUAGAGAUUAGGAAGAACACCAGUGGCGAAGGCGACUUACUGGACUGUAACUGACGCUGAGGCAUGAGAGCAUGGGGAGCA